GCUGGUGGUGAAUUUGUUAAAAAUCGUGUCGCAUGGUGAAUCCCCCUCAGCGGCGGGGCGAACGGUAAAGCAUAUUCUCAAUGCCAAUGGUCACAAUUCGCAGGUUCAGUUACCGUGCUGAAUCUACCGGGAGGCACCCGGCACCAUGCAGUAUACAGAGAUUAGGCAUAUCACCAGCCCCCUCUUCGGAGGGGGCUUUUUACAUGC
This 207-nucleotide small RNA is filed under the name Escherichia coli. RNAcentral describes it as "STnc100". It matches the Rfam family "Gammaproteobacterial sRNA STnc100". Lineage: Bacteria; Pseudomonadati; Pseudomonadota; Gammaproteobacteria; Enterobacterales; Enterobacteriaceae. The record is from RNAcentral.